This is an RNA transcript of Penaeus chinensis, 1235 nucleotides long. RefSeq lists it as uncharacterized. The transcript is spliced from 4 exons. Lineage: Eukaryota; Metazoa; Arthropoda; Malacostraca; Decapoda; Penaeidae. The record is from RefSeq and is a predicted model, not a curated record.
UCUUAGUCCAGCCUCGGCGUAGGAGAGGCGUUAGCGCUGGUUCUCUCGCGACCUACUAAGCCGUCACUGGAGGAGCCACAAUCAUUAGGUUGAUGAGUGGCGCAUUCGGAAAGAGAAAGAGAUGUCUGGUGUACAUCGCAUGACAAACACAUCGCGUGACGCCUGCAUGGCUGACUGCCUGGUCGUUCCGCCAUGCAACUCGCCCAACUUCCUGGAUAGCUGUGCUUCAAGCCUGUGCGGUAAAGGCAUACAGAAAUAGUGUCAGUGCAUUAUCAAUGCGAACGACCAACAGAGCGUCCCCAUUUGAUAUUUGUGUACUUCAAAAUAUAAAGCGACAUAGGAUACUAAAUGAAAAAUAUAUUCAAGUCAAACAAUUAUUUUAGACUGAUUCAUUAAGUGUUGGCACUAGUGUAAUGUAGUUGUUCUAAACGAGUACUGCGUGCACAGCUUGCGACGAUGGCCGAGGAUGUGUCUAUUCAGUUGGACUUCAGCCCCAUCAGCAUCGACACGCAAUACUUGACGCUGAACCAUGCAAUUAACUGGCUCAUUAAUCUGGAGUGGUGGGAAUGGCUCAUUCUUCUGAAGAUUGGCUUCGUGUUUUGGGUUCUUAACGUCACUGUCAUCCUGCCCUCGCUUUACAUGCAGGAAAAUAGUGGUAAUAACCAAGCUGCCUUGUACAGGUGCUGCUGUACACCGACGAGAUGACGUCACGCAAGUUGCAGCCAACUCUUCCCAAUUUCGUCGAGAUCUCCAGGAUGCUUCGUCUCGGAAAAACUAAGUACUCCUUCAUGCAGCGGGAGGAGUCUCAUAUAUAGAGGAAAGGAAGAAAUGCGUAACAGAGAGGAACAGUCAAGUGGAGGAGACAGCAGAGGAACGCGUAGCCAUAUCAUGAUCCCAGCCCCAAGGAACAGAAUCUUCCUUACUUGUCCGGAGUAUGUAUAUAUACAUAUUUGUAUAUAUGUAUAUAUAUAUAUAUAUAUAUAUAUAUAUAUAUAUGUGUGUGUGUGUGUGUGUGUGUGUGUGUGUGUGUGUGUGUGUGUAUGUGUGUGUGUUUAUUUUAUUUAAAAUAUUUUGAAACUGUAUUCACUUUUUUUUGUGUUCAAUUAAAUUUUGUUAGAGCGGUUCGUUAACUGUUUUGUUCGUUGUUAUUUUAUAAAUAUAAUACAGACUCAUCCCUUUGUAUAUAUUUUAUAACCAAACGCGCAUGGAAAUGAUUUAACACCUUUUUUCCUUUA